Molecule: non-coding RNA, 24 nt
Filed under: Arabidopsis thaliana (thale cress)
Lineage: Eukaryota; Viridiplantae; Streptophyta; Magnoliopsida; Brassicales; Brassicaceae
Source: RNAcentral
UGUUGAGAUUGCAACGAUUAUAGG